Molecule: ribosomal RNA, 466 nt
Filed under: uncultured bacterium
Lineage: Bacteria
Description: partial 16S ribosomal RNA
Rfam family: Bacterial small subunit ribosomal RNA
Source: RNAcentral
GACGAACGCUGGCGGCGCGCCUAACACAUGCAAGUCGAACGAGCGAGAGGAGGUUUACUUUCUCAAGCGAGUGGCAAACGGGUGAGUAACGCGUGAGGAACCUGCCUCAAAGAGGGGGACAACAGUUGGAAACGACUGCUAAUACCGCAUAAGCCCACGACCCGGCAUCGGGUAGAGGGAAAAGGAGCAAUCCGCUUUGAGAUGGCCUCGCGUCCGAUUAGCUAGUUGGUGAGGUAAUGGCCCACCAAGGCGACGAUCGGUAGCCGGACUGAGAGGUUGAACGGCCACAUUGGGACUGAGACACGGCCCAGACUCCUACGGGAGGCAGCAGUGGGGAAUAUUGCACAGUGGGGGAAACCCUGAUGCAGCGACGCCGCGUGGAGGAAGAAGGUCUUCGGAUUGUAAACUCCUGUUGUUGAGGAAGAUAAUGACGGUACUCAACAAGGAAGUGACGGCUAACUACGUG